RNAcentral lists this ribosomal RNA (406 nucleotides) under uncultured bacterium. Its description in RNAcentral is "partial 16S ribosomal RNA". It matches the Rfam family "Bacterial small subunit ribosomal RNA", at positions 29 to 526 of the family's 1533-position model. The record is from RNAcentral.
AUUGAACGCUGGCGGCAGGCCUAACACAUGCAAGUCGAACGAGUGGCGGACGGGUGAGUAAUGUCUGGGAAACUGCCUGAUGGAGGGGGAUAACUACUGGAAACGGUAGCUAAUACCGCAUACCAUCAGAUGUGCCCAGAUGGGAUUAGCUAGUUGGGGGGGUAACGGCUCACCAAGGCGACGAUCCCUAGCUGGUCUGAGAGGAUGACCAGCCACACGGGAACUGAGACACGGUCCAGCUGCCUACGGAGGGCAGCAGUGGGGAAUAUUGCACAAUGGGCGCAGGCCUGAGGCAGCCAUGCCGCGUGUAGGAAGAAGGCCUUCGGGUUGUAAGGUACGUUCAGCGGGGAGGCGUUACCCGCAGAAGAAGCACCGGCUAACUCCGUGCCAGCAGCCGCGGUAAUUC